CACCGCGGUUAUACGAGAGGCUCAAGUUGAUAAAUACCGGCGUAAAAUGUGGUUAACAUGCCAUGCUACUAAAGCUAAACAUCUUCAAAGCUGUUAUACCCACACGAAGACAGGAAACCCUUCUACGAAAGUGGCUUUAAAUUAAUGCUAACCCACGAAAACUAGGAAA
RNAcentral lists this ribosomal RNA (169 nucleotides) under Luciogobius sp. 'hiiro-naga-mimizu-haze'. Its description in RNAcentral is "partial 12S rRNA". The record is from RNAcentral. Lineage: Eukaryota; Metazoa; Chordata; Actinopteri; Gobiiformes; Gobiidae.